RNAcentral lists this ribosomal RNA (1208 nucleotides) under uncultured Alphaproteobacteria bacterium. Its description in RNAcentral is "partial 16S ribosomal RNA". It matches the Rfam family "Bacterial small subunit ribosomal RNA", at positions 57 to 1350 of the family's 1533-position model. Lineage: Bacteria; Pseudomonadati; Pseudomonadota; Alphaproteobacteria. The record is from RNAcentral.
GCAAGUCGAACGAGAAGCCAUCCUUCGGGGUGGUGGAAAGUGGCGCACGGGUGAGUAACACGUGGGAACCUACCCUUUGGUUGGGAAUAACCGCGGGAAACUGCGGCUAAUACCGAAUAAGCCCUACGGGGGAAAGAUUUAUCACCGAAGGAUGGGCCCGCGCCGGAUUAGCUUGUUGGUAGGGUAACGGCCUACCAAGGCUACGAUCCGUAGCUGGUCUGAGAGGAUGGUCAGCCACACUGGGACUGAGACACGGCCCAGACUCCUACGGGAGGCAGCAGUGGGGAAUAUUGGACAAUGGGCGCAAGCCUGAUCCAGCCAUGCCGCGUGAGUGAAGAAGGCCCUAGGGUUGUAAAGCUCUUUCACCGGGGAAGAUAAUGACGGUACCCGGAAAAGAAGCCCCGGCUAACUCCGUGCCAGCAGCCGCGGUAAUACGGAGGGGGCUAGCGUUGUUCGGAAUUACUGGGCGUAAAGAGCGCGUAGGCGGUUUGCAUAGUUGGGGGUGAAAUCCCGGGGCUCAACUCCGGAACUGCCCUCAAAACUGGCAGGCUAGAGUGUGGGAGAGGAGAGUGGAAUUCCCAGUGUAGAGGUGAAAUUCGUAGAUAUUGGGAAGAACACCAGUGGCGAAGGCGGCUCUCUGGACCACAACUGACGCUGAGGCGCGAAAGCGUGGGGGAGCAAACAGGAUUAGAUACCCUGGUAGUCCACGCCGUAAACGAUGAGUGCUAGACGUUGGGGGGCUUGCCUUUCAGUGUCGGAGUUAACGCAUUAAGCACUCCGCCUGGGGAGUACGACCGCAAGGUUAAAACUCAAAGGAAUUGACGGGGGCCCGCACAAGCGGUGGAGCAUGUGUUUAAUUCGACGCAACGCGAAGAACCUUACCAGCUUUUGACAUGCUGGUUUCGGGUUUGAGAGAUCAGACCCUUCAGUUCGGCUGGCCCAGCACAGGUGCUGCAUGACUGUCGUCAGCUCGUGUCGUGAGAUGUCGGGUCAGUCCCGCACGAGCGCAUCUCUUUUUCAGUGCAGCGUCGCGGGCACUCUGAAUACGCGUGACAGCGAGAAGCGGGAUGACGUCAGUCCUCAUGCCUAAGCUGCUACACACUGCUACAUGGCGGGAACGUGUAUGCAGGGGCGACCCGGACAAUCCAACCGCUCACUCUGAUGUUUCUUGCCAUCGACAGGGGAUGAAAUGCCAGUAUCGGGGGGAU